UUUUUUUUUUUUUUUUUUGCUUGAAAACAUACCUGUAAAACAGAAAAAAAUUUCAUUUGCUCUCUAUCCAUGCUCAAAAGCACUGUUGUCAGGAUCUUAUUACAGCUUCUAAACAACAUCAUUGUAGUCAAGAUGAUUGUAUUCUUCAAACAGAUAAGACCAAUGGACAUGACAGUGUUGGAAAAAAUAUUUUGCCAAAGGAAUUAAAGAGAGAAAUAAAAACCCUAAACAUUUUGUUUUUGAAAAGGGAUGUGAUGACUCUCAGUAAAAUGUGCUUUUAUUUCUCAUGAUUCUAAUUUGGGGAUUUAAAAUUUUUUAGGCUUGAACAUCUAACAACUUAUUUUACCAACUCAGAUGACUACUAUCACAUUUAAAUGCCACUGAUUUUAAGCAUACUGUCAGGAACUACUCUAUCUAGAGGAUCAGAAUCUAUUUUACCUGAGAUGUCAGUCCUCUUUCACUUAGGCAUCAGCUAAGAGAUUUUCUUGCUACUGAACAAAGUCCAAGUUCACUGUAAUGGCAAAGAAGAUGAGAGUGUCUGUGUUUGGGAGGAGAGUUAAAAUUAUUGCAGCUUUUCAUGCCAAUAAAAAAAAAUAUCUCUCUGUGAAUUCAGUGUUGCUGGCAAAACCCCAGUCUGAAAUAGGAUUUCUUACUCACUUAACAUAUUCUUCUGGUGUGAAGGAAUAAUUUCUAACGAAACAUCUUAUGGAAAGCUGGUUGCUGAUUUUGCUAGGCACACUUACUGAAAAUUAGUUCUUCUAAUUGCCAAAAAUACUUAUUUUCCAAAUGUUUCUACCUUGAUUCUAGCCAGCAAGCAAGAUAUACACUGAUGGGUAGAGGAGGUAUGAAUCAAACCAUGAGUGUUGUGGAUACCUGGUAACACUUCAGCAGGUGGAAGAUCAAUGGAAAGAUAAACUCUGAUUGCGACAGGCUUAGGAUCCAGCCCUAUGUAUAUGAUUGGUUUUAUUACCCAAUUAGUCUACUCCUCCUCUUUGAAAAGGAUUACAUCCCAGACAUAGAUUUGCUCUAAAGAAAUAAAAACAAUGAUAAAAUCUCAAAACUCAGUAUGUACAAUAUUGUCUGUAAUUUCAGUUUUCCCCUCAUUUAUACUUAACAUAAGGAGAUCAAUUUUAUAAUGGCUCUAAAGUGUUAGCUAAAGUCUAUGAGUGUAUAUAUAUUUUAUAUAUAUAAAUAUAUAUAUAAAUAGUUGCUAUAUAUAUAUAUAUAUGUAUAGGGGUGUAUGAAUACAUAUAUAUAUUUAUACAAAGAUUUCAUCUGUAUUGAACUUCAUUUUGUGUUCCUUUGCAUACCACUGUUAAAAGUUUGCUUUUUAAUCAGCACUGCCAGUACUAAAGUAAGUAUUUUAAGUAGCACAGAGAUGAAUGGCAGAUUUUCCAUGGCCAGACUGUGCAUUAGUUAGCCUUGUGGAUAAAAGCCAGUGGUUUCUGGACUUUUGAUUUUGUUUUGAGACAAAAUUGUCAUGUUUCAAGAAAAUUAAAAUUAAAGAAAAAGGAUGGUUAAAGAGUUCAAGCUAAAUUAAGCUUUGUUAAGAUGUUUAAAUGAAAAUGUAUAUACAGAAAAAAUAAGAAUGCAGUCCUGCAAGUUGUUGUGUGAAACCUAUUCCAGUGACUGCAACCAAAUUAUAUGUCAGAAUUACUGGAUUAGAACUCUAUAGGUUAAGAAAUCCUCUCUUUGUUUGUUUGCUCGGUUGUUGUUGACACUUUGAAUUUGCAUAAAUAUUUUAAUCCAAAAUAUUUGGGUAAACUACUGAAUACCUUUAAUUUCCCAAUUCUUUCUAAACAUCUUUGUUGAUCCCCUGAUGAGCAAUAUUAAUGAAGUUUGAAUAUAUGCCUGGCUACCCUUACCAGUCAUUUUGACAGUGGCUCAUAUGGGGCUGUGUUAUAGAUUUGUGCUGAACACAAGAUUGAUAAUAAAGAGAUGGGGUUUUUAUUACUGAAAAUAGCUUACACAGAGCCAAGGCCUUUCCUGCUUUCAUACUGCCACACUGGGGAAGAGACUGGGGAUUCACAGGAGGCUGAGAGGAGACAGAGUCUGGACAGGUGACCCAAACUGACCUUCACUGGGGAAGAAGGAGGAAGUGGGGGAAGUGGGAGGGGGGGCAGUCAGAAUGAAGGCAUUUGUCUUCCCCAGUAACCAUUACAUGGGACGGGGCUCUGCUUUCUUGGGGAUGGCUGAACACCUGCCUGCCCAUGGGAAGCAGUGAAUUAACUCCUUGUUUUGUUUUGCUUGUGUGCAUGGCUUUCAUUCUCCCUAUUAAACUGUUUUUAUCUCAACCCACAAGUUUUCUACCUUUUACCCUUAUGAUUCAGUUCUCUCCUUGAUGCUGCUGGUUGUGUGAGUAGCUGCAUGCUACUUGGCUCCUGUCUGGGGUUAAAUCAUAAAAUAAAGUAAAAAAGAUUGUGGAACACAUUGAUAUUUAAAGAUAUAAAGGAUAAAAGGGUGCAGAAUAAUACCUAGAGCACAGACUUUUGGACUUUGAUAUUUACCAUGCAUGCAUGGCAGAGGAAGAGACAGUUACAUGUCUUAACAGUUCAAGAGCAAAUUUGCUGGACUGCAGUGGUAGAACAAGAAGAAAAAAAAAAAAGCCAAAAAGCAAUGAAAGGAAAAGAAAAGAACACACACACAGCAAGCCCAGUAGAGGGAAGGGAAAACAAGGAGGAAAGACAUAGGGAGGAAAGAUCAAAUGGUAGAAUCAUUUGCAGGAAGAAUGAGAGAGGGAUGAGAGAAAAUUUUGCUCCACACAGACAGAAAACAGCAGAUAUUUGUGACCACAAAAAAAGCAAAUCAGAAGGCAUGUUGCCAAAGUAUAUUCAGGAAAUAGAAAGGUUUUGCUAUCAGUGAGGUGGUAUCUGAGAAUAGUUCAGUCAAAACAUAAUGUCUCACAGAAAAUUUUUCUUCUUAAAAGCUUUGGUUCAACUGCUAAAUACGUAGUUUACAUCAGUAUUAAUGUCUCUGGCAGAUGCCUAUUGAAAUAGGUGAAAAGAAUGACGUUCAUGUAUUCGAAUGGAGAAAUACAGUAGAUUGGAGUAUGCAUAGAAGCCUACACCAUAGAUUUUUAGCAAUUUGGUGCAGUGAAUGCCAGUGAAAUCAAUUCCACAAACAUACAAAAAACUUGUAGAAUUUUAGAUGGUCAUGCACUGACUUUAUGGAUCUCUGGGAAAAAUGCUAAAGUCACCAAGGAUCAAUAGUAAUUCAUGUACAAAAGAAGUAGUCUCAUGUGGAGGACUUUAUGAUAGGAAUAUUGUGUGGCAUCCACAGAAAAAGAGCUUCUCAAAAGACAGAGACUAAUAUCAUAGCACCUAGCUUUGGGAUUAUGUGGAUUAUGUGUUGUUCACAGAUGAGAAGAAUUCUAAACUAAGAAAUUAUAUAAAAUUGUAUGAAGUCAUGUAGAAUCUAAUGCUGAUUCCCCAGGUGCUUUUGCUUUCCUCCUACUUCUCAUAACCUUUAAGUUUUGCCUCCUGCUGGAGGUAAACAGGAUAAGAGUAAUCAGCUGCUAGUAAAAUCCAGAUUGUCAAACAGCCAUAUUCCUAAAAUAGAACUUUUUACUAAAGAAAGUAACAGAUUUAUUCAAGUUGUCACAUAAAUUAUAUGAGUUGAUGAUGUAUUUUCUUCUUUUAAAUGUUCACAACAAAAGGGAUCAUAACAAAUGUUUGCAAGAUGAAUCAUCUCCACUUCAUUUUUAUUUUAAGAUUUAACAAUCUUGUACAGUUGAAUCCAUCCAACCAACAAACAAACAAAUCCUCUAACAAAAGUGUGUUUUCAAGUCUUCUAUCAUCACUUGGACACUGAAAUAAAACCCCCAAUUCUUUUAGUGCUAGUCAUUCCCCCCCCACACACACACCUAGAAAAACCCACAGCACAACUCUUUUGUAGACAGUAUGGAAUAUUGAAAUAUUUCUGUAUUCAUAAUCCUACAAUGAAUGCUACAAUGAUUUGUCUAAAUUCUGUUUUUCUUUAGACAAUAUUGAAGACUUCUAUGAAUGUGAACAGAAAGAUACAGGCAGUAGUUUGCAAGGCUUAAGCUUAGUGCACAAAAUUUUGCUUCAAUGAGCCUUCUAAAACUGACAAAAUAUUUAACAUCAUAUUUCUUAGAGCAGUUUACACAGAGAAAGGUAUCCAAAAGAGCAUACUUCUGAUGAAGGAGACAAGUAAUCUGAUGAGCUUCCUUCGGAAGAAAAGAAAGUCCUUCAAGGAUGACUGAACCAGCCUAACAGAUAUUUUCUAAGCUCCUUCUGGAAGAGGCUUUGUUUCUGUGUUGAGUCUAAAGAAAACACAGUGAGAGAAACAAACCAAUAAAACCAGCCUCUGUGACUAAUCUCCUUUGAGUUAAAACAUAUUGAUUCAAAACUUUGUGGUGCAGUGUUUGUUCACUGGUCAAAGCCUGAUAUGAGUACCAGAGCAAUUUAGCUACAGAAUGCACAUGACUUUGAUUAACCAUCAAGCUAACAGAGAGAACAAUCCCAUCCCCUCUAGAGAAGAGGAAAAGAAAACAAUUUCUAGAACAUUUCAAAUCAGGCAGCUAGUCUCUUCUAUCCUCUAGCUAAUAAGCUACUCUCUGCAUGAGUCCUCUUUUUGACUGGGAGACUUUUAAAUCUGCCAGCUGGAAAACAGGCUUCCAUGUGGCUUCUCAUCUCUGGUACCUAUUUGUCUUGACAAACAGGGCCAGCUGCAAUUCUGGGUCUUUAAAGAACUUUGUGGCCUCUAUAGUUGCCCCAUGUAUAUCACUGCAGUUAAUGAAGAUGUCUUAACACCCCAGCAGAGGAUUCACCUAGUGGAGAAAAUACACCAUACUUGCACAGGAUCUCCUUCAUGCAGAGUAUAACAAGGAUAUUCACCUUAAACUUUCAAACCUUAUAGAUAUUCGGUUCAUUCGAAAAGAGUUACAACACACCAUCUGCUCUCAGUCAAAGCAAAAUCUAAACAGAAUAAAAAUAACUUUAAAAUCAUCUUUUUGCUCCUUCUGAAUCUCUUGAGGUUGAGCACAGAAUUAGACCUCCAUGUUAUUUAUACAGAAAUCUGAGGCAUGCUGGAUGCUUCGUAGAUCAAAUGCAAAUGACAUUUUCUCAGACCUUAGAAGAUAGUUUAAUUUUAAACUAGCUGCAAGUUAUAAAAACUGGAUAAGGGGAGAAGGAGUGAAGGAGGAAAAAUGUUACACUAAUAUUAAAAAAAAAUUAAAAGACCCAUGCUUUGUAGUUCUCCUGUAAUAACUCUGCUCACAAUUUUUCUUGUAGUUUAUUUUUAACAUACUUUCUUCUAGGAUGAAAGUUAAAAAAAUUUCCCUCUAUGUUAUCUCCAUCCAUGAUUUUGUGGCAUCCUGAAUUGGCAUUUCUCUCCCUUUUAUUUAAUUACCCAUAACAGCAGCCUAUCAGUCCCUACUUAUACCACUUUACAAAGCAGACCACUUAAAAACCAAUUUGUGGUGUGCAUAUAGAGAUAUAAAAAGGGAGAAACAUGCUGUAUAGGGAAACGUACUCACUCUUUAUCUUAGGUUGAGUUCCUUAGUAAAUUUCAUGACUAGGUUAAUAAGAAACCUAUACUGGAAACACACACAAAGCCAUGAAGAUUCAGAUUGUCCUUUUUUAAUUAGUAUUUUCUGUGAUUUACUGUACUCAUAAGAAAUGUUACAAUGGGCAUCAUCACCGUAUCAGAGCAAAAGCUGGACAAAUGGGACUAGAUAUAGACUUUUUUAUGAAUCUGUUACAAAAACUUAGGAAAUAAAGAAGAAAAAAGUUUGAGUGUAAUCCAUAACACUCAGAAUUCAACAAACUUAGUUGCCAGAGUAAAGCAGUCAGUCUAAGUCACUGGGCAACUCCUUUUUUUUUUUAUAGUUGAGAAGGUGCAGUGCAGAGGAUCAGCUCACUAGCUUUCUCUCUUUGGCAGAGGCUUGUCUUCUUUGCUGCAUCUUGGUCUACAUAUCUGCUUAUUUGCUUUCUUCAGAGAUCUAUAGUUUUCAUUUCUUCAUAUCAAUUGGGUAUAAGACUUACAUUUCAUGGGACAGAGACAUAUUACUUACUGGUAUAAAUAUUGUUUCUAAUGUACAUUGGACUUGUAUAGUUUGUAUGUAGCAUAUUUGCAUAAAGAUAUGAAUAAUAAUAUGGAUUGAUUGAGGUAUUUGAAACAAUAGAAGUGCCUACUUUCUACUGAGCAUUUUUUCUACUGUUAAAAUGUUAUAACACUGUACAGCAAGUGAUACUUCUAUGUGUAACUUGCAUUCAACAUCUCAACAUAUGCACAAUUAGCAUCAAGCUACUUGCUAAUGAGCUCACAUUAGAGCUCACAAGAUUUAACAUCACAUUUUUGUUGAUCUUUAUACUACAUCAGCUGCUCCUGUUCCUCUUUUGACUCUUGGCUGGUAAUAAGGAUUCAGUCCAUCAGACAUUUCAAAAUGUGCAACAACUCAGCAAAACAGAUUGGUUAUGCUGGAUUGGCUGCAAAUAAGAAGGACAUGACCACCAUGAAGCUCUAGUAGAUGUUUUGUGCUGGUAGAUAUAUACCCCAGUGCCUACUGGUCACUCUGACAUAGUGACCAUCACUGUCAGCUUGAAAAAAUUCCCAUCAGGGAAGAAAGUGCAGGACUGCUGCACAGUUGCAUUAAUGUGUGUGAAAGAGUGUGUGAGCCAUGAGCCAGUGUCUUGUGUCCUACAUUAUGUAUGACACCUGGCACACCUGUAGUGUUACGGUGCAUGUUUAUAGCAAGUCAUGGAUCGCCAAAAGACCAACCAUACCAUAUGAUACACCAAUCUUCAAUAUAGCAAUAAUUUCUAACAACCUAGAUUUAUUUAUAUCUUCUGUGUAAAUGGAGAACAGUUGACAACAUUACAAUAAAAAAGUUGUGAUACUUGUAAAAUGGGAACUCAUUGAAAACUUAUUUUCUAAAGCAGUUUUACAGACUGUGAUGAUAAAGUUUCUCUUUAAUAUUGUUUUCUGCAUAGCUUGGUUCAAAAUCUCAGUUAAUACAGUAUUCUUGACCUGGACAGAAACUUCUUCAAGAAUUAAGUAUGUCUGAGAAGUUGUAAAGAUUCUGUAAUAAAUAUAUCAGCAAACCUGAAGCAUAGACUCCUCUUUUACUAAAAUACCUUGAUAUAUGCCAAACGAAGAACAUUUAAAGGAAAAUAUGGUCUUAUUUAUGCAUUUGCAUGCCCACUUAAUGUGUAAGGCAGUUGGAAAAUUUCACUUCCCACAUUUUAAUAUCUUAAAAUGUUUUGUUUUUCUCCCACAUAGCCCCAUCCCCUUUACCACCACCACCAUCCCCCACCCUGGCCUAGGGAAGGAUUUCCAAGUCUCUUACAAACAAUUGAAAACUAAAAUACUUUGAUCUAAAAAUUUCACAGCUGUACUCUCUGGAACAUCUAGUUUGAAGUACUCCAUGUUUUAAUUUCCAUUUUAGUCCCUUAGUCAGGCUACUGUCUAUAAUAUUUUUAUAUGUUUUCUCUUCAUUAAGUGUAACAGGUGACAUGACCUUACCUAUGUCACGGGAAAGGAAAUCUGGUGGAGGAGUAGAAUGUAUGUACAAUUACUAAUAUUUAAAUGUUCCCUUCUCCCUCAACAUGGGGGUAAAUAUAUUUCACAGCUCAGCUGCAGAAAAAAAGAAAGAAAAGAGUAUGAGAUAUUUUACCUUAGUAUAGAUUUACCUUUAAAAAAUGGACACCAAAAUAAAGGAAAAUUCUUCCUUUAACUAUGAGAUUAAGCUAUGAGAAGAGAAUUUAUUAAUUUUUUUUCUUCUACCUCUCUAUGCAUUUUGGCUAAAAAAAAGUAUAAUCUUUCCAGUCUUCUUUCUAACAUAGACAUAAUUUUUAUGAAUCUUGAACAGUAAGGUUCCAAUGGCCUUUGACCAUAUCAUAGAAUAUGUGACUAAUCAGUAUUCAUUCAACUUUGUUAUACAUACUCAUUGUUAUGAUGCUACUUGCUGUUUCAGUAGUGAGAUUCAUGCAAUGCAAUUUACAAGUUAUUUAUUUCACAUGCAGUGCUUGCAGCAUUACCCAGAACACAGUGACUUUAAUUGAACUGUUUCCAAAUGUCGCCAUUUACUAAGGACAUGUCAAGAGAUAAAGAUGAAUGCAUGAUAGAUGGGCAGAUAUAAAGGGGCUUAAUUUCCUAUUAAACUGCACUAAAAAGUCCAUACAACUCGCUUCUACCCACUCACCACUUCUGUCUCAAUUUACAGAAAUUAUAAAGAUCUACCUCUUCAUUCAAAAAUGUAUCCUUUCUUUUUUUUUUCCAAUUUCUUUUUGUUUCUCUUUUUGAUAUUCACUUUUUGACAAAAAGACAGGUAUCAACCCUUGAGGAAAGAUCUUGACACAAGUCAAAGAUGUUUAAUAAUGGAAAAAUUUCUUUCAGUGAGAAAGACACUAAUUUGUACCAGUUUUAUUGCAGUGAGACAAGACAAUCUUAUGAAGUUCAUAUUUCCUAUGAACUUAAAAAUCUGACAUGUAACUCCAAGCACUUUUCUUAGAACAAAGACAAGACAUACUUGAACUGUAGGCAACAUUCCCUUAACAGUUGAUAGUAAUAGAAUUUUUUAAGUAUUUUAGUACCAAAAGAAUCAGCAUGCUCUUAAAUGGAAAAAAAUACUCCUAGGAAAAGGAAACGUCCUAAUUUUUCUGUAGGAUUACAGUUGUUUUUUGUACUGGAGAAAAAGGUUUUACUAAUUGCAGUGAAAUAUAGCAAGCAAACUGACAACAUAUUGCUUUCUAUGAUCUCCUCACAGAUAGCAUUACUGUUUGAAUGCAUUUGAUGUUUGAAAUGACUCACCAAAUGAAAUCCUAAUUUAUAUCUUCAUUGUCAUAAUUUGUAUUUCAGUAAUCCUAUAAUGGAGCAAACAUAUUUGCAUGGAAGUAUCUUUAAAAAAUUAAAAUUUCCACCAUAAAAAAUAUAUUUUUUAACCAUGUGUAAUUUGUGACAUAUCGAUUCAAUUAAUCAGGAGUGAGUCAAGUUGUCCAAUUUAUCAAGAAAAAUUUACAUAUGUAGGUCUCUAUUUAAUCAUCCAAUAAUUAUUAAAAAAAAAAAGAAAACAAGAAAAUGUGUUGUGUUUUUUAUUUUCCUCAUGAUAUUGCUACGGGCUGCAAGGAGCUAUAUAGGCAAACAGUGAAAGUCAGUACAAGUCCUAAAGAGCUCUCAGUCAAACACUACUCUUCCGAGACAGCAAAAGAAGGUUCUAUCUGAAGCUAUUUAGUUCCUCAGCUUUAGUUAGAUGAGAAAGUCAGCAUUAGUUUAUUUUCUGGUAAAUUUAGACAAGAAGGAGAAAUUGAGUGACUACAUGAGGCUCAGAAAAUGAAGUGGGAGUAUAUAGUUAACUAAGUGUUAAUCCUACAGCUUUAACAAAUAGUUCAGUGGUGUAAACAUAAUUCUGUACAUCCAUUGAACAUAACUGAGUUACUGGGAAUAUUUUGUAUCUGAAGUUCAAACUGCUUUAGUCAGACAAGAAGCUUUUGUUUGAGAGAUUUCUCUUUCUGAUUAAAUGAAUAUGAAUUACAUUACAAGUAAUUGCCAUAAAGAAUUUUGAAAUCACCUUCUAUAUAUUUUCUUUACAUUUGCAGAAAAUAUUAUUUUUCCUUCUGUCAACACUUCUAGUAGUGUAUUCAGCUGACAGAAUAUCCAUUAAAAUUAACUAAUGGAGGUGAGAACGCGGCUUUCAAAUUCAUUUUAAUCUUGAAACGUUCUCUUUUUGAGUACUUGAUUUGAGGGAAACUUUGAAGUAUUUCAGAUUAAAUGAAAAUUUUUUACUCUUAGAAAAUAUUAGUGGCACACAAGGACAUAACUUUUUGUGGCUUACAGCUUUACAUAUAUGGGGAUUGCUACAAGUGUGUUUGAUCUGUUCACAUUAUUUUAGGUAAACAAUGGAGGAGCAUUUGAUUUCCAAGUGACAAAAACAGGAACACUGAUCAAAUAUGCUAAAGCAUGUCCAUUUCUGCAUGAGAAUAAGUCUUGCAAGUUGCUAUUCAGAAUGUGUCUUUUGCCCAUGAUGUAGUUUGCAUUCUUAAUACAGCUCAUACAUGUCCUGUAAAUUUGUCAGUAUUUUCAUGGGUGUACAUUGUAACCAGUAUGGGAACUGAAUGGUUAAAUACACGUCAGAUACAAAUUUUUAAUUUGAUUCAAAUGAGGGGGAAAAAUCCCUCUCUAUGUCUAGCUCUUUGGUGUAACUAGGAACAGGAUUCAGUAGUAAACGAAGCUACAAGAGGAAUAGAAAAUUUUCAGGCUUUCCAAAAUUCAGUUCCUAUGAACACCCAUUCUUCUGCACAUGCAAGAAAGAUUAGAAGUCACAAGAAAACAAAAUCCAGUGAUUAGAUAGAAAGAGAACAGCCAUUAGUAGCACCUUUUGGGAAAAGGUGUAUGGCAUUUUGUACAGAUAUUGUAUUGUGGAAUGACACCAGGGAAAGUAAUAUUCACUUCUUUUCAGUUCUGUGCUUAAAAGCUGUGGUUUGAUGCUUGCCAGUAAUCCAUACAUUUAUGUCAAUGGUACUGUAUGAAUAAAUAGACCCUGGCAAUUUAUCUUCUUUGGUUCAUGUAGUCAUAAACUUUAAAACAGAUACUAAAGAUAUUUUACAUUUAAAAUUUUGCAUACUUGCCUAGAAUUUUAAGCAAUGGUCUUGCUUAAACAGGAUAAUUAUCAUACAGUCAUAGUUUGGAAGGGAGGGGACCUUAAAAAAUCACCUUUCUCCAAUCCCCUGGUCAUAGGCAGAGACCAGGUUACUCAGAGCCCUAUCCAAACUGGUCUUGAACACUUCCAGGGAUGGAGCAUUCACAGUUUCUCUGGGAAACUUGUUUCAGUGCCUCACCACCCUCACAGUCAAGAAUUUCUUCCCUAAUACCUAAUCUAAACCUACUCUCUCUGGGUUUGAAGCCAUGCCCCCUUGUCCUAUUACUGCAUGACCUUUAAAAAGCCUUUCUCCAGCUUUCUCAUAGGCCUCCUUCAGGUACUGGAAGGCUGCUCUAAGAGACCUCUCCUCCAGACUGAAUAUCCCAACUCUCAGCCUUAUUUCAUAAGAGAGGUGGUCCAGCCCUCUAAUCAUCUUGAUGCCUCUCCCCUGGACUCACUCCAGCAGGUUCUUGUUCUUCUCAUGCUGGAGGCCCCAGAGCUGGAUGCAGGUGGGGUCUCUCCAGAGCAGAGCUGAGGUGCAGAAUCACAUCCCUCAGCUUGCUGGUCACAGUCCUUUGGAUGCAGCUGAGAACACAUUUGGCUUUCUGUGCUCUGAGUGCACAUUGCUGGGUCAUGUUCAGCAUCUUGUCAACCAACAUCCCCAAGUCUCUUUCCUCAGAGCUUCUUUCAAUCCAUUCUUAAUUCCCAUAAUUAUAUGGAAAAGAAUUUAGCCUAAUACCCUUCUAGGAUUAUUCAUAAUGGAUUAAUUGGAAAUGCUAUUCAAGAGAGUCUGCUUUGAGAUUUGCCAAAAGUGAAUUUUAAUCCAAAAUGUGUGGGUGUUACUUUUCUUUGAUUGUUUAAAUCCCCCAUCACAUGCCACUGCAUAACAUUAUUACCACUUCUUGCUUCCCAGCAGCAACUUGAUGCCAUCCAAUUCUCCAAGAGAAUUUUAAAUAUUUAGAAUACUGUCCAAAUAUGAACUCAUCUGGAACACCAAGAACUACAAUUAAACUAAUUAAACUCUUUCAAUCUGGCUUUUCAAAUGAUUGAAAAUAGGUAGAAUCUUUAGCUGAAUGACAAAGUCUAUAACACACUGCAUUCCCUUUUGUUAAUUGCAGUUUGUAUUGUCAAGAUUUUAAUGAGCUGAUAAACUUGUUCUCCAACACUAUUCAACAAAUUAUGUUGUGUUUAUAAGUCCAUAAAUUAGUAUAUUGAGUAAGAAAAAAGCCAUUAAAUUCAUUGCAUACUUUUCUUUUACAUGUAUUGCAUGCAAAUAAGACCAGCUAGAGGAGAUUCUGUUGAACAGUCAUAUCUACUGGGGCAAAAUUAUAAUUAUUUUUAUCAAUUCCACAUCUUAAAGUCACAUAUGUAGGAGACUUAUUGAGACACUAAUUUGCUAUUUAGGACUUGAAUAAACAGGAGAUAAUUUUCUAAUGGUUAGAAAGUAAAAGAAUGCAAGAAAUUGACAAGUCAAAAUCAAAGACAAUACCAGUCAUACACAUUGCCCCAGUACAGGAUCAGGCCCUUUGUCAUUUAGCUUUACACUCUGUGUCCAAGUCAUCCGAUGUUUAUAUCUGUUAAUUUUUUCCAUUUUAAAAUAGUCAUAAAUGCUAUCUCACUUGCACCCAGUAUAUUCACAUCUCAUAGCUGAACAGGCUUAUUGCUAUCGGUUUCUGAGUACUUUGAAAGUGUGAACUGUUUAGCAAGACAUAAGUGGUGUGCCAAGAGCCUGAAGCAUCAGCUCUGAAAGCACAGGCUGCUUCACUGAUGGCCUGCAGAGUCCCAGAUGCUGGGUCUAUGUUACUGUGUAGAGCAGCCCUCAGGGUAGCCUCAAGGCCAGAAGAGCUUGCCAUCUACCUUGAUUGCUUCUUCAGUCAUCCCGAAGGCAAGCUCUGGGGCAAACCUGCUGAUCAUCCUGGAUGGCAUUGGGAAUUGGUGAUGUACCCAACCCAUCAGCAACAAUAUUUGCACGUAUGCUUUAGCUAUUCUAUUUGCCAUUUCAUUGACAUCAAGUAGGGAAAAAAAGAAAAUAGUCUGGGGAUUAUCCCUUGAAGAUGCCCUCAGGUUCUUCCCAAAAGGUCUCAAAAUGUUUGCUCUCAUAAGGGCAACAGGGACUUUAGGCAACCUUAGUUGCCUAAAGAUUAAAGAUAUAAUACUGAUGAUAAAAGAUAUAAUGAAUGCAAAAUGUGCACCUCUUAUUUACAGGAAAUAUGAAGUCUUCAUUUUAGCUACAGCAUGGAGGUAUUCACAGAAUAGAUGAGUCUGAAAUAAUGAAAUUAUUCCACAUAAUUUAAAAAUGUUAUCUUUCUGAAAAGCAUGGUGCUGUGAUUCAAAGACAGUUAUUCUCAAUCCAUUUAUGAUGUAUGUAUUCCUGGCCUGAUAAAGCAUAGUGCAUAAGUUAAUGUCAACAUUUAACUACUGAUGUGGGUAACAUGGUGAGGGUACUCCAUGCUUACACAUUUUAUUUCAUACGUAAGAUAAGACAGGGAUAACUACUGCAGCUCAUACAGUUCACUUAAGUGUAGCAACACCCUUUUAUUGCCUGCUCAGAUGUGAAUCUACCAGAGCAAGAAACCUGUAUCAGUUGGACACUCCACUUUUUGUUUUGUCUCCCUGUGCCCUAAAGUGAUACCCUUGAAGUUUCUUUUCUUUCACAGAAAAAAGCAAUGUGAUUAGAGUACAUUGUUUCCUCUGGAAUCAAACUAGGUCAGAAAUGCACAUGAGCUUAAAACAAACAAACAAACAAACAAAAAAGGGAGCUGGAAGUGCAGUCUAUGUAGGUAUGCCACUAAAAUAAACAACUAAUUAAAAAAGAUAAUUCAUUAAGUUGAUAACUGUGCUGGUUCCAUUGGUACCAUUCCCUCCUUUGUCCUAUCCUGUGGUAAGCAUCAUGGUAGAAGAGGGUUCUGGAUUCAAACAAAGCAUAAGUCCAAGAGACAGUCUUCAUACUGGACCUUUUGAAAAAAAAAAAAAAAAAAUCCAGACCUCAAACCCAAUAAUUUAUAACCAGAACUAGAAGAAAAUAUUUUUAAUGAAAGAUGAUUUUGGAGCACCCAUUACUGCCAAUGAGAAUGUUCUGUGGUUAGUUUGCAUUAUGAGACAAUAACAUGCUGCUUUCUUUUUUUUUUUUUUUUUACUUUUAUUAACUGCUAUUAUUGUAGUGCCUAAUAUUUUGGCAUCUCUAGGGUAUCUGACCUAACACAAAAUGGCACCUGCUUUAAACUAAGAAUAUUUUAAAUUAGGAAGGUAUAAAUAAUAUAACUUAAAAAUUGCUUACUAGAGGAUCCAAAGCUUUAAGUGUUGCAAGGGACCUCUUCAUAAGUACUUCUAGUUAGGUGUCCGCUAUUAUAUUCAAUAAAUCCUCUUUAUAAAUAACCUAGGCAAUGAAAUCAUUCUGAUUAAAUGUACAGAUAACAGAUUUCAGGUUCAAUGGAUAACGGAGCUCACCACAGCUACAAAGGUGAUUGAAGCUCUUGAAGACAUGGUUACUUCAUUUCUGUUAGAAAGUGUCCUGUUACAUUGUAUUUGGUAGCGUAUGAAAGAGUGUAUAUUUACAAAACUGAAUGUUUUGUAAAAAGGAGUGAGUUGAAGUAUUUGAUUAUCAUAUUAGAUGAUUAUCUCAUGUACUCUUAAUGUAACGCUUGGUGAAAUUUAAGAUGGAAAAUCUUACAGAAGUAGAAUUAUCUGCUCCAUGGUUAGAUUAAGUAAGUCUUGUGGUGGAAUAUAAUUUAUUCUUACAAUAUCUACCAUUCAACAAGUCAUUAGUAACAAUUCAAAUUAUUUCUAAAAUUAUCCAGAGAGGUGUGAGAAAGACUUCAGAUGUCUAGCUUCAUAAACUAAUACAGCAAUCCAUAAGAAAACAGAUUAAGAAGUUAACUGGAUCAAAGAGUGUGAGUGCUUAAAUAUGGAGCAAAUAUUUAGAUGGAAGGAGAAAGGCUUUCAACAUUUCUAAAAAAUGAAUAAAAAGUCAAUAAUUGGAAAGGUUUUUUAAAAAAAUCAACUCUAAAUAAGUAAAAAAAUCCUAAUAGAUUAUUACUGAAGAUUGUAUCUUCAGUAUUGCUUGUUAUCUCUCAAGCAAAAUCUGUGGCCCUCUGAUGCAAGUUUCAGACACAUUCUUCAGCCCACAAAGCAGAAUCAGUGCACUUUUUAUCUCUAAAGUACUGUAAAUAUGAACAUUGCUUCUCAUUCUUCCUCUUCUGCCUCAGUUUGCAUUCGGAGUGAUUUCUCCAAGUACAUUUAAUUGUUUCAUCACCAUUUGUAAAGCAAAUGGCUUUAAUCAAAUUUCUUGCUUUAUGACUGUUCUGGUUUUGUAUUUUGGCUUCAGAUUUUAUGAGGGUUUUUAUUUGGCUGAGUUUUAAUAUCAUUGAAGGUGUCCUGUUUGUAACUCGUCAGCCAAACCUCUAUUUGGCUCAUUUAAUUGUCUCUUUGUUGUCCUCACUAAUCAGAUCUGAUUACUUUCACAAGCACUGUGUCUGUGUCCAAGAAGCAAUCAAUACUAUCUGUUUACUUGUGCAUAAUUUUUUUGUCAUCAUCAUAUCACUGAAACCAUAUCUGCACAGCUGGAUCUGUUCUGGUCACUCUUCUGUCUUAUUUUUCUCUGAACCCAGACACCAGUCCUGAGAAUCUCAAGUCCCUUUCUCUGGCAAAAGGUGUUCUAUUCCCAUUGUUUUAUACUUCAAAAAUCUCUACACAGAUAUUCAGAUUUAAAAUCCUGUUUGCUUUGAACUCAAGGACAACAAUUUAUUUCCUCAAUUGGUCUCAUGCAAGUAAAAUUCAGAAAUAUUCUAGUAAGAUGUAUAGCUAGAAGACAUGCAUCACAUAAGUAUAAACACAUUGGAUGUUCAGAUAUUUUAACUAGACAUGUUUGCAGCUGCACUUGCGUUUGCAAAUACUCUGACACUUUUCUUGUAUUUACCACUCAAACCUGGUUUCUCUCAAAGUUUGGAGACAACCAGGACUGACUUUCAAACAAAAUUAUAUGUGUAGCCCUGAUCGACAUAUUGUAUUUAUAAAGGGAUUUUUUACUCUAAAAGAAAUUUAUACAGUAGGCAAAGUCCUUAAGCCAGUCCUUAGCUUACUGUGUCAUUAAUAUAUAAUGUGACAGGACCAGUAUCAAAUAUAAAUAUAAUUAUGCAUGCAGAUGAACUUUUAAUUUGGUUGCCCUGGAUUACAGCAAAGUUAACAGAAUUACAAUGAUGCUAUUACAACUGAAAUGAAAAUAAGAUGCAUUUUCAUGUUGCUGGUAUAGAGACCUGGCUUUAGCAGUAUUCAAAUCCUGCUCCAACUUGAUUCAUUCACAGAAAAUGAGCUCAAAGUAACACCAUAAAAUGUGUUCGCACUCUCUCUGGGCUUCAUACAGCUGCUUUAUGGUUUGUUUUAAUAAAAAAACAUUUUUAUUGUUGCAGUAUGUGAUAAAAAUGACAUAAAUAUGACAAAUAAAUAAAUUUGGAUAAAUAUGGCCACAUCCUGAGGCCUGCAAGGUACGAGGAUGAAGAGGCUCUGUAUGAACUGAGGAGAUGAGGUGGCCAGUGUAAGACUAGAACUCUGGAGCCCAUUUGUUUUUAUAUAUAGCUUGUUUCUGUGUGACAAUCAAUAGAUAAUUUGCCCCAGCGGAAAAUAUUCCUUUAUGAACAAUUGCCAAGCUUUUAUCAUAGGAUUCACCUCACCUGAUUAAUUUCUUCUCCAGUGCUAACAGAAUUCUAUUACUUGGGUAAAAUCAGAUACAUUUGUGGCCUACAUUAUGUCAAAAGCUGAAUUUUUCUUCCUACAUGGACAUUAGAGGAAGAUGUCAGUUAGGAUAAAUAUAUGAGCCAUACUAUGAAAAUUAUUAUUUUUUAAACUAGGGUGUUGAAGAUCCUUAAUAUAAAGCAGACCUCCAUUUCUACAUAGGGAUUUAAGCAAACAGAGCAUAUUGCCUUUGCAUGACAAAAUCUUGAUUGCAGGACAGGCUGCAUGGAUGGCUCCUGUGAAAAGACACCAGAAGCUGCCCUUGUGUUGGAAGAAGCCUAUUCCAGUAGAUUCCAAGAUGAGAAGGUAGAAGAGUUAAGAAUUAAGUUGAGCCCAGGAAGAAAGGAGGGGCAGCGGAAAGUAGCUUUUGGUUUAAUUAUUAUUUUUUAUCCUAUUCUGUUUACCAAUAAUUGGAAAUAAAUUGAAUUCAUCUCCCCAAGCCAAAUUUGUUUUGCCUGUGACACUAAUGGAUAUGUCAACUCACUAGCUUAUCACUGCAUUUUCUCAAUCUAUCUUGUUGAUGGAAGAGAAGUGAGAGAGUCACUUGGUGGGCAUCUGAUGUCCAAGCAAGAACAAUCUACCACAGAAAGAAGAGGUCUCUCACUCUCCUUUAGAAAUCUCUCAUCCCUUCAUUACUGAUUACAUAUACAUCCAGAGAAUGAGGCAGACUUUAUUACUUUCCUCUAACAUCAGGAUCCCAGAACAGAAUUUGGAAUUCACUGAGACAAAAAAAAAAAAAAAAAAAAAAACCAAAAAAACAAAAAGCCAAAAAAAACCCCCAAAACAAACAAAAACUAAACCAAAAAAACCCCAUACUAUAAUCCAAUAAGUGAAGAUCUUAACUGGCUUCUGUCUACUCCAUCUUACUUAAAGACAUAUGGAGAUUUGAAGUCGGAAUCCUUUUUUCAAGAUGAAAGUUAUAUUCCUACAAAUGUUUCAUAGAACACUAUAUUGAGAUCCCUAAAUACAUUUUUUUUUCUUUUCUACAGGAAAUUUAAAGGCUUUAGAUUCCAUUCCAAAAUACAAGACUGGCAUUCAACAAACCAGUUAAGCAGAGCUUAAGAGCCUAGUUCAAGAUUGAUUUGAGAAAAUACCAGCUUAUCUACCAUGUAGCCAAGUUUUCAUUCUUGAAAUAUGAUUUAUUUACCAGUCUACUUUUAUUUAGUGCCAAUUUAGAUAUGCUAAAGUGUCCCAUUUGAUUUCUGUUUGCCUUUCUAAAACUGUGUUGAACCUUUUUAGCUGAUAUCAUGUAUCAUAUUUAUCAGCCCUAAGAAAACAUCUUGUACAACUGGACAGCUGAAAAUGGGAGAUGAAUAAACUGAAUUCUACUUUUAGAACCCAAGAGAGAAAUUUCUCUGAGUAUAUGCGGUUCUGUUUGUAUAAUCCUAAAGGUAUGUCCAUAUCUUUGGUAUGAGAUGGAUCAUUUGGUUUAUAAUUAUCUAAGCCCAAAGAAACAGACUUCCUUAAAUCAUGCCUACCUUACUAACACUUAAAUUAAGAGUGCAAAUUUUCAGCAUGUCCCUGCUAAAUCACUAAGUGUUUCACAUAUUAGAAAGUCUACCUUUAAUAUUCACCUUUAGCCAGUUUAGAGAUGAAAAUAAAAUGUCAAUGAAAGGCUGAAAUAUUUGGUCUGCCAUUCAGAGGAAUCUUAACAAGCUGAAGAAAGGGGCCAAGAUGAACCCCAUGAAGCUGAUGAAAGAAAAGUUUUGGGUCCUUUAUCCGAAGAGGAAUAAAUCCACACACCAGUAAACAAUGGAGGGUGAUUGUCUGUCUACAAAGGAGCUUUGCAAAAAGAAUCUAGUGUUCCUGGUAGACCAUGAAUUGACCACGAAUCACAAGUGUCCCAGGAGUGGAAAAAAAAGACUACAGCAUCCUGAGCAGGAAUAGCAUUUCUAGCAGAUAGAAAGAGGAGAUCCUUCUCCUCUACUUAGCACUAUGGAGUGCAUCCAGUUUUGAGCUCUCUGGCAGAAUACUGGGGACAAUCUAGUGCAGGACUGCAGAGACCCUUAUGGGACUGGAGCACCUUUCAUGCAAAGGGAGCUGGGACAUGUAGGACAUUUCUCUUUGCAGAAGGUUUGGGGGCACUGCAAGGGAUUGGUGCAGGUCUUACCAAUGUUUAUAAAUAUUUGAUGGGAGUGAAUGAAGAAGUGGGAGCCAGAUCCUUCUCAGUGGUGCCCACUGACAGUACAGAAGGCAAGAGAUAGAAAUUGAAAAACAGUAACAUUUUCAUAUUAUCACAAGAAUAAACAAGUCCAACACUUGAAGAGGUUAUCCAGAGAGGCUGUGCAGUUUGCAUCCCUCAAGAUAUUCAAAACCUGAGAGGAUAGCGACCUGGGCACCCUGCUGUAGUUGAUCGUACUCUAUGGCGGAGUGUCCAUGUUGUCCAAAGGCCCGUUAGGACCUCAAUGAUUCUGUGAUCUUACUAAUCAGAUACUUAACAGUGGACUAUUAGAAUUGAGCCAAAUGAAGCUUUAGUGGAGAAUGUACAGUCUCUUACCAGCUGAACUACACUAGACUGGGGAAUAUACCUUGCUGUUUGAUCAGUCAUCUGUGUUUUAAAACUGUUUCUGUUGAAAUGAAAACAAUAUUUCAACAACUUUCAUCAUUGAAAUUGCACAAAAAAACUAUAGAGAACAAUCUUUCAUUGGCAGACGUUGGACUUUGUAACUUAUGAUAUAAUUUUUAAGUCAAAUUUAUUACUAUAUCAACAAAAACAAAACAAACAAACAAACAAAAAAAACCCAAACCAACACUUGCUCUAGUAAUUCAUUAUACCAUGGAGUCGGUCCCUUUAAUAUUGCAAAACUGCGUAAGUAAUGACAUCUUGUAUUAGUAUUAGAUCUGCAUUUAUAGAACAAUUGCUGUUACUGCUGUUAUGUUUUAUAUUAUACUUGUCUAUGAAAGUUGGGAGGUGUUAAUCAACUGAACAAUGCUGGUUUAGCAGACAUAAGAUAAUAAAAGGACAGGUUGAUAACAAUCAUUACUUUAGAACUAAUAAAAUCUGUUGUGUGUAAUUUACUUAUAAAAGUUAAAGCUCGCUGUAAUUGGUCUGUCAUUUUUUAUUACUGAAAAAUAUGCUCCUGUUCUCAUUAUAAGACUUGUUGUUGCAAGGCAGUUUGUAGGUGCCAUAGUCUGGCUCAGUUUGACUUCGCAGAAAAAUUAUAGAUGUCAUCUCUAGGAGAAGAAAACCAGAAUGGGCUGUAUGUGCUCUUUUUACAAUGUCUUCAGCAGGCACACAUUAUUAGUAGAGAGGAUAUCAGCCCAAAGUUUCUUAGCUGCAAAAAAGGUUUAGGGAAUUUCAUUGCAUAUAUUUAAAGACUAAGUUGAAUUGUUAAUAUAUGAAAGUUUUAAAGCUAGUUCUUGAGGAACAUAUGACAGAUGGUGUAGUUUCCCCCCCUCACGCAGCCCCCAGAAUGCUCCGACUAGCUCAGAGAUAAGGGGUUGUGAGGGGAGGAAUAUCAGGAGAAAGGUAAAGGUAUUCAAAAGAGGCUCUCACCCCAAGGUAUGUUGGUACUGCCCUCUUUAUUCUGUGAUGUCCAUGUGGAGAGCGGGGCAAAAGAGAAUGAACAGGAAAUGUCAGGGGGUCUAUAUAAGUUUUGGACAGGGCGGGCUUUCCUGGCUCUCCGCCAGCCCCAUUGGGGCAGGAAGAAGGGGUCCAGGGGUUAUCUUGAUCAGAGUCACAGGGUCCUGGGGAAGGGGAAUGAUAUGAAGUAUGUCCUUGCAGAGGUCUUCCAUUGUAUUUCACGACUGAGAGAUAUUACCAUUAUGUCCUUGUCCUUUCCAUUUUUCUCACUUCUGCCUAUGAUUUUUGGAAAGCACUUCCUUUAUUUAAGUGCUCUACUGGAUAAAAGAAGUCAGAAGAAACUUCCAGGAGGAUGAAGUGAAGGCAAAAUAUGUGCUGAAGAGAGUGCCACCAUAAAUAACAAAAUAAUACGAGGUCUACUGUUAAUAACUCUGAGGUCAAGACUCACAGUUUAAUUGUAUUACAGAUUCAUCACACUCUGGUCAGUUUAGGAUGUAGUUGUGAAACAGGAAAAUAAUUGUUGCGGUAAAAUGAAAAGAAAGGAAGUAAAAGAAAUUGCCUUUGGAUUCAGAAAAGUUAUUUAAAAAUAGGAAAGCAAAAUACUACUUUUGUAAGUGUUGCAAAUUAUUUUUUUUCUGUCUUGGGGUUAUUAAAUUCCAGCACUGACUGCUUGUGAUAUUUCAGUAAUCAUCUGACUGGUGACAAAAAUUAUAAAAGUAUUAAAAUAUUCCUGUUUUCCUACAAAAAAAAAAAAAAGUGGCUGAUAGACCAAAAAAAAAAAAAAAGGGGAAUAUAAUUAGCGGCAUGGAUCAGAUGCUACAUCUCUUAUUUUACAAAGCAGCACACUUAGCCAUUAUCUAGUGUUUGUGCUUUUAAUCCAAUCAGUACAAGAUAUGUAAUUUUUGAAAACAAAGUGGCAUGUUUCAUAUGACUGUUAUUAUUGUCCCAGAAAAUUGAUAAUAGAAUCCCAGAAUAAUUUCAGUUGGAAAAUACACUUAAGAUUAUUGAGUCCAACUGCCACCUAGUACUGCUGUGUCUACCACUAAACCAUGUAUGUAGGUACUUCUUUUACACACCUUUUAAAUACCUCCAAGAAUAGGGACUCAACCUUUUUUAAAUCUUUGGCUCUGCAAAAGGUUUAAAUAGCAGAAAAAAAUUGCUUUCUCACAAUGCAGAAUUUAACUGUGGAAUUUCUUGACAUGAGGGAAAAAAAAAAAAAAGAAAAGAUAGAACAAAUUUAUAAAAUUAAAAACAAUUGAGUCAAAUUAGAAUUGUCAAUGUAUAUUUGAAGGGGUUUUUGUCCAGGUAUGACCUCAAAGCAAUCCUUACACUGGUGGCUGAAAAAUAUUAGAGAAUAAAAUUGACAUAUGCAUGACCUUUCCCUCAUACUUCUGCUCCUGGCAUAAAAUUAUGUUUUGAAGAAAAAUACCAGAGGUUCUUUUUGGUCCAGCAAGGUCUUUACUAACUGUAUAAUGAUCUGGGAAUGUAGGAAUUUUAUUCUUACCUUCAUAUUAUGAACUAUUUUAUUCUACUUUUUACUAUAAAUCUAUAGUAAAAAUUUUGGAUUAGAUAUAAGUUGCAUUUUAACUUUGUUUUUUAUUUAUAUAAUGCUAAAUAUUUACUGAUUACUUAAUAGUAUUUUUACUUGUUUAUUAGAAGCUUUUACUUUUCCAUAUAAUCACAAGAUUAUUAUUAAAUAUUAAAUUUUCUUACACUAUUUUGUACAUCACUUUUGUACUUCUUCAAUUUUAGUUUAAUUUCAUGUUGCACAUUUCAGCUGUACUUCAGGUAUUGAUACUUAAUAUUUUUUUUUUCAGUUUCCAUUCUUUUGAGGCUUUAAUGCAAGUAUGGAACAGUCUGCUUGAAGCCAAAGUGGCAUUACCCCAUUAUUUUUUAUUGAAUAUGUUAUAUUGAAAACAGCAAAUAAAAUUUUCAUUUCUAUGAACUCUGUAAGUGAAUGUUAAAGACCCAAGGGCCUAAUAAAAUUCUUACAUGAAUCAAUGAUUUGAGAUUACUUUGGAGAAAAAGGUCUUUUCCAACCUAAAUAAUUCUACCGUUCAUUGAUUUACAGUAACAUCAAACAGUUUUUCUACCUUCUUGGCUACUCUCAGAAAUCUUUUACCCUUCUUAAAUGACACCAAAUAACAUCAAAUAUUUCUACAUCAGUUACAGUGAAAUGAAAUUCUUUUAUUAUGCAUGUAGAGUUAGGAUGAGUGCCCUUCUCCCAUCCUUUCUACUAUCUCCAGGUACAGAUUUUAAUUUUUGAAUUUGUUACCAUUUCUGUAGGGUACCUUGAUGGAAAACCUUAUUAACACCUGCAAAUAUAUGCACAUUCUAACAAUUAGAUCUUCAUUAUUCUCAAAGUUUAGGGAUAUAUUAAUACCAACAUCUUUAAUGUGCUUACAACUGCUCUCUGAUUUGAGCUCAGAAAAGGGCACAGUUUUUGUUUCAUAUUCUCCAAAACAUGUGGCUCCAUGUUGACAAUGCUCUCUGGGGAUUGUGUCAGCUUUUAAAUUGUAAACAGGACUGUGACAGUUGGCAUGAGUCACUAGUUUUCCACAGCGUAUUCUAACAGUUUAUUGGUAAAUAAAAUCGAGCUCCAUUGCCUAGGAAUGUUCCCAAAGUAGCCACUGAUUUUUUUAGAAUACUGUAUUGAUUUUAGAUGGAAAGUAUGCUCUCUUUCUAUCUCCAUUCAUUUUUUUCCCUUUUCCAUCUCCCUCUCCAUCUCUCUCUGUCUCUUCUCUCUCUCUCUUCUUUUCCCCCCUUCCAGUCUUAGAGUUCUACAGUUUGCCUCAAGUUAAAUCAGAUUUGUCAGUUCAUUUUCCUAGUUCUCUCCUGGAGUCUUUUAAAAUUGAUGUCCUAUUUGAUCCUUUCCAUCCUUAUGAUUUUAACUAGAAGUUAGCAAUUUCAUAUUUAAUUACCUUUAGUGUUCCUGUCUGAAUAUCAUCUCUUCAUGUCAAUGUCUUAUUAAUAUUUUUAUUGGUUUAUCUUAGUAGUCAUUUACUGACACUUUAAUUUGAGACAGUUCCUAAAGUGUUCCUUGAUUAAAAAAUGGAGAACCACUAUGAAGAUACAUUAGGAGUACAAAUACACUACAUUUUUAGCUGUUCUGCUAUACACAUUUCUUCCUUGAGUCUUUAGCACUUGUAUCAUCUUUUGAACCUCAUUAAAUAUUUGACUGUGUUCCUGACUUCCUGUGCUCAAAAAUACUCUAUUGUAUGUUUUAAUGAUGUUAGUAAGUCACUCCUAAACACUUUAAAACAGCUACAUUUAUCUCAAAAAAAAUAUACUAUCCUAUUCUACAUACAUACUCCUUAGUUGCCUAUCAACUAACAACUUCUGACUCUCUGCUGAGAGUCUGAGACACAGCUGGAUCCAAUUGGUCAUUGAACCCAAACAACCUUCACCAGAAUCCAAUCAAGCAAUCACUUCUGGUAAACAAUCUCCAUACCAAAUUCCACAUGGAGAAAACAAAGGAACAAAGAUAAAGAUUGUUUUGUCUUUUUCUCUCUGUGCUGCUCCUGAGAGACAGAAUUAUCUCUCUCUGUCCAGAGAAUGUGAAUGCCACCGAAAUGGUACUGUCUGUAAAGGAGUUUGACAUCCAGACUCCAGAUCUUGGCCUUUUUUGAUUUCAAACAUGUAUGAAGUCAAUUGAAUAUCUUCAUCAUGAAGUUAGCAUAGUACAUUCUACUCGAUGUCUCAGAUAGAAAGGAGCAUGUGAAAAACUACUAGAGCUGGAUAAGCAAGAAGGAGCAUGUGUAUCUGUAGAGGAGAGAGACCACUGUGAGUCAGGAGUUCUGCUUCUUGUUCUAUUUGUAUAAAUAGGUGCUGCAGUUUAGACCCAUAUAGGGAAUUAUUUUAUAGCUAAAAAUUCUCCCUGCUUCUGACCUACUGCAGGGAUUUCUGAUGUCUGAAAUACAGAAACAGGUAACAGCAGUAGGUGUUAACUCCCUUUGAAGCAGCAGCUUUACAAAAGGAGGUUCUUUGAAACAGACUGUUGACAGUAAAAGAGAAAAGAUUUAAAGAUGGCAUAAUGGUGAGUCAAUUCCUUUUUUUUUUUUUUUUUUUUGUAUCCUCUGCACCCCCACUCCAAGCACAGUUCUUUCUGGCCUACAGCUGAGUGACUGUCCCAGUUCCUGCUUUCAUGUUCACCCCUCCAGAGGAGCCUGGUUCUUUGCACAGAUUCAUUACAAGGCAGUCUUCUGUUUCACAUAAUCUUGUUCAAAGUGUGUACUAAGCUAGUAUAAUAAUUUCUUUAUCUAUAUUCUUGGCCCAACCUUCCAGAAGCCAUUGUGAAAUCAGUAUUUGUUUGUAAGUGUAAUUAAAACAUUUUUUAAAGGCAAAACCUAUUCUAUUUCAGGGAAUUUGAUUGUACUUCUCAGUUGCUGGUUUUCUCAAGAGGGCAACAAUGUAAAAUGGUUGCGCUUAACUUUUCUUGCUUGAAUGUCAAGUUCAUUAUAGAUUAUGAGCUAAUACAUAAAUAAGGAAAGAAAUAUGCAUGGUUUUCAAUUUAGAAACAGCUAUUUACUUUAGUAGGUGCCAAAUUUCGACAUAGUCAUUAUUCCAUUGUUUCAAGAAGUUUUGGUGUUAUGUCAUAAACUCCAUGCAAGUUUCUUACUAAACUAGUUCAAGACACCAGCUGUAGAAUAAAAUCAAACAUUGAGACUGAGCAAAAAAAAAUUCUGAUUUGCUUCAAACCCCUUCUUCCACUAUAAAAUUUAUAAAAACUGAACUUACAAUGCUACCAUGAAACAUGAAUCAAAACUCUGUAUUAGAUGAAGGAUAAGGGGAGCUUGAAGCUUUAGUAUAUCAGUUAGUGGAAUAAUACAAUGAUUUUUUUUAUAUAUGAACAAUUUUUAUGAGUCUUGAGAAACAUAAAACUUGGGCUUGAAGUACACCUAAUAGCUCUAAAAAUAGAGAGUAAAUAUACAGCAAUGGAGUGUUCAGUGUGUUAAGCAACCAUUUAAAUGAUGCCAUUCUGAAGCACAAAUUGGUUUAUUUUUUGUUGCUUCCAAAUGAUUUUAGGACAAAUACUUUUUAUUGAUGUCUAUGAAUAGUAACUGACAUUUCAAACUAAACCUUAACUCUGCAGAUUGUUCUUGGUUAGAUUUGUACAUGACUGAAGGCUCACAAAAAUGUCCUGUAAUGAAAGCAUUUUACAGUGGUUGAAUAUCAAUGUGCAGUAUGCAAAGUUCAUUAUAAUGCUGAGCAUACUAGGAAAUGUGUCAAUUUGUAAUGUUUAUGGCUGAUAAUGUCAUCAGAAUAAGUUCCGAUUUAUUGGCACAUGCACAGCAAGAGGAAGAUGACACUUAAAUAAAAUUAGUGUUUUCACAUUUCUUUUUAGAGGUUUGCUACAUAAUAGAAACAAACACUUAUCAUUAAGAAGGCUGAAUUAAAAUUUAGUGCAAUAACCAUGAAAAUAUUGUUAUUCACAGCAUACCUGCAAUGUAAUACAUCCUGUGCAGUAUGACUCUCUGGAGAAUUACUCCUUAUCUUCCUUUGUUCAUUCACUUAUAUUUCAGACUGCACUCUAUUCCAAUAUCUUUAUUUAGGACAAUAGCAGAGCUACCAACUCCAGCUGUGUUUUGAGAAUGACUCACAGAACUUUAGGAUCUUAGAUGUUCAAAACAGAUAUCCCUACUGAGCAGCUACCCAGAAAGGCAUUAGGCAUUUUGACAACAUGUUGGAGUGUAAGAAGUUAUUACAAUUGAUAUGUGGGAAAGGAGAUAAGAAACAACUCUAACAACAGGCAAAGAGACUCAGCUGCUAAAAGAAAAUGCCAAAACCACAAGUCAAUGCUACUUUGCUUUGUGGCAGAUAGACAUAAUUUGUUUCUUUUCCAGAGAGGAAAGGAAUGCCUUUGUUACCCUUUACUCAAAUCAAACUUGAACGAUAUCCAAGGUACCUCUGUGCAUUUUUGAUAACAAAAAAGAAUCUACAACUUUUUUUGUUUUAGGGUUUUCCCAUUACUGUCAUAAACAAGAUGCAUUUUCAAAGCUAACUUCAGUAUUUUUGAAACAUUUUCUUUCUGUACCAAAGCAAAGUUUAAAAAUAUGGUUUACACUUUGGGGUUAUGUAUAGAUAAUCAUAUUCACCAUCCCAACACUGUGAUUCCUAUCCUUUCCUCCCUGUUUUCAGGUAACAAAACAGAAGAGUGAUUUUUUGAAACUAAUUGGGAUAUGCUUCUGCAUUAUAAAAAACUUUACUGAUGAAAACAGAAUUAUUUUGGAAGAAUAAUCUAAAGAGGAGAUCCUCAAGACCAUACUCAAACUACUGUCUUAGGUCUGAGUCCUGUGUUAAGGUUUCUGACUGUCCUUAUCCAUUUCAGCUUAGUUUAUCCUUUCAGGGAAGAUUUUAAAGCUUCUGCUUAUGUGCAGAGAUGAUCUAGCAAGAACAAGAGCUUGAUUCUCCACUGCUGCUCUCACAAGUUAGAGUUAGGUUCAGAUAUGUUUAAUAGAAGGGUCUCCUCUGAGAUGCUUGACAUACAGAAGUUCCCAAAUACAAGGUUAAGAAUUGUUCAAACCCCCAAUGUUGUAGCUGUAGGUCAAAGAGGGUUUUGCUGCUUGGUCACCACAAUGGGAUAGAGUUGACUUCAGCUCUCUAAAGCUGGAGAAAUCACCUCUCUGUCAGUAACAGUUUUCCUGUGCUAUCCAUUACAUUACAAAGACAAGUAGAAAGGAUCAGGGUAAAUGCUGAAAAAUUUUACUUAAAGUUUUUCCCCCCCCCUUUUUUUUUUUUUUUUUUAAUGGAAGGGAAGACACAGCUGGAAAUAACAGGAGAUUCACAUGUUAGUAAUUAAUAACAAUUAAUUAACAUCAAUUCUUAAAAUGAAGAAAAAUCUGGAGCACUUAUUUGAAAAAAAUAUGACACCAUCAACACAUCAUGGGAUAUAGGUUCCUCCAUCAUUAUGACCCUUAAUUUGAAAGAACUGAUGAGUUGUUUAUGCCGAAGGAGAUGGUUUCUGCAGAUUUGAAGACCUAUCCUGGGAUAUGUUUUGUAAGAUAUUGCUCAUCCUUAGCCCUGUUAAUAGUUAGGAUGAGGUCAAAACAUUCUUGUCUCCUUCUUCUAAAAAGAGAUGUAGAUAAGCUGUCUUGAAUUAGGGAUAUGUUGUACACCACUCUCUUCCUUAGAGCCCAGAAAUAGAGGAACAAAGGAUGUAAGUACUUUUGUCUCUCUCAAGGCUGAAAGAUAAAGAAGCAUCCUCAGACACUGAAAGCCCAACUACUUGGUGGACAGUGUGUACUACGUGUUUUAUUUACACUCCUUAUCAAUUUCUUAAGAACCAAAAAUUAAUGAGACCUAAAGCUGGCUGCUCUCAAAUCUUCUGUGGCCAGAGAGCAAGUUCACUUUUCAGGCUGCAGCAGUGGUACAGGAUGGCUCAUGUAGGUAACAGCUGUCCAAGGGAAGAGAAAGGAGUCUGCAUGAGGAUUUCUGGUCUACUAACUCAGGUUGCUUGCCAGCAUGUCUGUGUCAAUUCUUCAUUACUUCUGGCAUACAGUGCUUGGGGGAGAGUUGAGCAGGGAAAUCUCAUGAAAUCUAAAAUAGCCUUGAAUAAAAUAAGUAGAUUGUUUUGUACUGCAUACUUUAAAUGUCUAAGAAACUGUUGAGGAUAUAUCAACAACCUUCUUUCUUCUCUGAAAUUUAAUCUGACUAAGGUAUUCCACAUGAUCAGUCCUUCCUCUCAGAUAUCCAGAAGAGAUUUGUUGUUGUGUGUGCCUGGGGCAAGAAGAUGCAUCUAUUUUGCUUUGGGCACAGUGAGCUCCUGUGCAUGCAGCAAAUAACCCUCAGUAUGUUUUCUGGCAAGGGUUACCACUACAGGACUAUGACUGCUGUCCAGGAUUUUGUUUUUCUAGAUGAGAAAUGUUGGAGCAGGGCAAUGUGAUUUAACCUAUCUGCUCAGAGCAAAGGCAAUUAUUUAUUUCUCUCCCUCUCAAUCCUUCAUGGAUGUGGAAAAUCUAUUAAAGUAAACUUUACCUUUGCUGUUGCCACCUGCCCUUCUCCCACUGGAACCCUGUCUUCUUCUAUUUCUAUCUUCACUAUCAAGGAAUUCUAAUAUAUUUGGCAACUUGCACUGUUUUCAAAAACACAGAAAAAAAAUAUCAAAGGUCAAGUGAGGAAGAGGAAGGACUGGAUCAGAAAAAGUCAAAUCUACCCAGAAGACCACCUGUUCCCACCCUCUGUUAUUUUUGGCAAUAUGUAGCAGGUGCAGGUUUGCAAUGUUAUUUCAGCAACAGCCAGGGUUUUAAAGCAUUACCAACCACGUAAACACACGAGUUCUGGUAAAAUUCAUCCAUCACAGCAGCUUCAGCUGUGCACCUUUCCUAGCAAACUGUCCUGUAAAGCAAAAUUAUUCCUCUGAAUGGGAGAAAUAUUUGUUGACCUGAAGGCAUCUGCUUAGAGAAAAAUUGUGAUGGCUGUUCUGGGAAGUGUGUCUAACAAAUUUUAAACUCAAAAUUUUGACCUUUUAGACACUUGCAGUAUAUGGUGUAAUUUCUUCAGGCUAAAUCUAGAUGUAUAAAGCUAAAGUAAAGCCAGUUAAAGCAAGUUAAACUCUAGUCACCUAACUAUUGUCCAAUUUUCUGCUUCAACCAAGAUUAGCUACAAUAAGACAGACAAGUCUAGACAAGGCCAAGCAAAUGCUUAAGCCUUUAUAUACCUCUCAUGAAUGAGUGUUCUAAGGCUGUGUAAAGAAUCACGAUCAAAGGUAUUGGCAAAACCAGGUUUAAUAUCAAAGGGGGAGCAUGACAAAGUUUGCUGGCAAGAUUCAGUCUACAUUUUACUACAUGGUUACAGCACACCAAGAAAAACAAGAAAAAAAUCUCAAAUUAAUAGAAACUCAAGAUUAUCUAUGUGGAGAUUUGAGGGGGUGGUGGGGGUGGUGGGAUAAGACAGGAAGAAAAUUAUAGGAAGUGAUAA
Molecule: long non-coding RNA, 28763 nt
Organism: Taeniopygia guttata (zebra finch)
Lineage: Eukaryota; Metazoa; Chordata; Aves; Passeriformes; Estrildidae
Source: RefSeq, a predicted model, not a curated record